RNAcentral lists this ribosomal RNA (410 nucleotides) under uncultured bacterium. RNAcentral describes it as "bacterial SSU rRNA". It matches the Rfam family "Bacterial small subunit ribosomal RNA", at positions 370 to 772 of the family's 1533-position model. The record is from RNAcentral.
AAUGGACGAAAGUCUGACGGAGCGACGCCGCGUGGAUGAAGAAGGCCGAAAGGUUGUAAAAUCCUUUUGUCGAUGAAGAAUAAGCAUGGGAGGGAAUGCCCGUGUGAUGACGUUAGUCGGCGAAUAAGCCCCGGCUAAUUACGUGCCAGCAGCCGCGGUAACACGUAAGGGGCGAGCGUUGUUCGGAAUUAUUGGGCGUAAAGGGCGCGUAGGCGGUCCUGUAAGCCCGGCGUGAAAACCUGGGGGUCAACUCCGGGCCUGCGCUGGGAACUGCGGGACUAGAGUCAUGGAAGGGAAGUUGGAAUUCCAGGUGUAGGGGUGAAAUCUGUAGUUAUCUGGAAGAACACCAGUAGCGAAGGCGAUAUUCUGGCCGAUAACUGACACUGGGGUGCGAGGGCAUGGGUAGCAAA